RNAcentral lists this ribosomal RNA (460 nucleotides) under uncultured bacterium. Its description in RNAcentral is "partial 16S ribosomal RNA". It matches the Rfam family "Bacterial small subunit ribosomal RNA", at positions 28 to 500 of the family's 1533-position model. The record is from RNAcentral.
GAUGAACGCUGGCGGCGUGCCUAAUACAUGCAAGUCGAGCGGUAAGGCCUCUUCGGAGGUACACGAGCGGCGGACGGCUGAGUAACACGUAGGAACGUACCCCAAACUGAGGGAUAAGCACCAGAAAUGGUGUCUAAUACCGCAUGUGCUCUAAGGAGUAAAGCUUCGGCGGUUUGGGAACGGCCUGCGCACGAUUAGAUUGUUGGUGAGGUAAUGGCUCACCAAGUCGACGAUCGUUAGCUGGUCUGAGAGGAUGAUCAGCCAGACUGGGACUGAGAACGGCCCAGACUCCUACGGGAGGCAGCAGUAGGGAAUCUUGGACAAUGGGGGAAACCCUGAUCCAGCGAUGCCGCGUGUGUGAAGAAGGCCUUCGGGUUGUAAAGCACUUUAGGUGGGGAAGAAAGGUAAUGAGUGAAUAACUGAUUGCUUUGACGGUACCCGCAGAAUAAGCACCGGCUAA